UGCACUCUAACUACAGUUAUAUUACAGUUCGCCGCAGUUAAAGUGCAAUCUGACUGCAAUUUUGAUUCAAAAGUUAUACUACAGGUUACUGCAAUCUGACCACGAUUUUUUUUCAAAAGGAACUACCAUGAUGUCAUUUCCUGAUGUCAUUUCCCAGAGUGCCAAAGAUAUUAUGACAUGUGGCAGGGCAAGUCUAGACUGAGUCUGCUGUUGGGUGGGUGAAUACAGUAUAAUGUGGUCGUCACCAAGGACCCAGACUGUAUGGGGUUUCCAGGCCCCUGUCCUAGACUGACGAGGGCCACUGUUUCUCCCGCCUAGGUGUGUGUGUCCAGGUGUGUGUGUCAUGUCCGAUUUGACUUAGACACGUUAUGUAAGAGUGGGUGUGUUCCGGGUGGGUGUGUUCCGUCCAUCCCGUGUGUGUGUGUGUGUGUGUGUGUGUGUGUGUGUGUGUGUGUGUGUGUGUGUGUGUGUGUGUGUGUGUGUGUGUGUGUGUGUGUGUGUGUGUGUGUGUGUGUGUGUGUGUGUGUGUGUGUGUGUGUGUGUGUGUGUGUGUGUGUGUGUACAUCACUCGUCCUCCGUCCGUACUUGUUAUGGUUAUCACCACCACACCCUCUCCCAAUAACUCACCAGAACCAGCAUGCAGGCUCACACAAGUCAGCCAGCCACCAAAUAGAACAUUUUCUUCCACUCAUUUAGCAAAUAAACACUUGAAUUGUUGCCAGUUGUGGUCCACAAUGAAAAUAUCCCCUGCGGGGAUGUUCUUUUCACCCAUUCUCAGGAAGAAGUAGAGACAGCAUCAUUACGUGAACAUUUUGGGGGGGUAGACCAUCUAUUAUAUUGCAGAUAGAUUGUUGCUUCCACCAAUGUAAUUGUCUGCAU
Molecule: long non-coding RNA, 879 nt
Organism: Oncorhynchus gorbuscha (pink salmon)
Lineage: Eukaryota; Metazoa; Chordata; Actinopteri; Salmoniformes; Salmonidae
Exons: 3
Source: RefSeq, a predicted model, not a curated record